UAUACUUAACCGUCCCGCCUUCAACAGAGUUCCAGGUUAUGUGAUGUGAUAUCUGACAUGACGUCUUCUACGAUGACGCUUCGACGUAAAUUAACAAUUCGUUGUUAUAGCACGACGGUUUGGAAGGUGCAAAACGACGAUACCUGGAGGCUACACGACGUUUCGACUCGAAUCUGGAAUCUACGUAAACAGUACAAAAAUACGCCGCUUACCGUGUCCUCAAGGUACAUAGGAGACCCGUAGUCAAUACCCUGCUUCUGCUACCUCGUUCGAAGGUCUAGAGUCUAGCUCGAUGUCAAUUGAGACGACCGGACUACUAUUAGAUAAGAAACCUGAAACCUCACCUACUAGUCAGACUACUCUAAUGGACGUUAA
Molecule: ribosomal RNA, 375 nt
Filed under: Triticum aestivum (bread wheat)
Lineage: Eukaryota; Viridiplantae; Streptophyta; Magnoliopsida; Poales; Poaceae
Description: partial small subunit ribosomal RNA
Source: RNAcentral